UGAGGAACAUGACUUUCGGCGGGGGAUAGCCGGCCCAACGGCCGGGUAAUACCGCGUACGACCUCUCGGGGACAUCCCCGGUUGGUGAAAGCAGCAAUGCACCGAAAGAGUGCCUCGCGGCCUAUCAGCUAGUUGGUGGGGUAACGGCUCACCAAGGCGACGACGGGUAGCUGGUCUGAGAGGGUGGCCAGCCACAUUGGGACUGAGACACGGCCCAGACUCCGUACGGGAGGCAGC
This 237-nucleotide ribosomal RNA is filed under the name uncultured bacterium. RNAcentral's name for it is "partial 16S ribosomal RNA". It matches the Rfam family "Bacterial small subunit ribosomal RNA", at positions 118 to 352 of the family's 1533-position model. The record is from RNAcentral.